UGCAUAGCCGACCUGAGAGGGUGAUCGGCCACAUUGGGACUGAGACACGGCCCAAACUCCUACGGGAGGCAGCAGUAGGGAAUCUUCGGCAAUGGACGAAAGUCUGACCGAGCAACGCCGCGUGAGUGAAGAAGGUUUUCGGAUCGUAAAACUCUGUUGUUAGAGAAGAACAAGGAUGAGAGUAACUGUUCAUCCCUUGACGGUAUCUAACCAGAAAGCCACGGCUAACUACGUGCCAGCAGCCGCGGUAAUACGUAGGUGGCAAGCGUUGUCCGGAUUUAUUGGGCGUAAAGCGAGCGCAGGCGGUUUCUUAAGUCUGAUGUGAAAGCCCCCGGCUCAACCGGGGAGGGUCAUUGGAAACUGGGAGACUUGAGUGCAGAAGAGGAGAGUGGAAUUCCAUGUGUAGCGGUGAAAUGCGUAGAUAUAUGGAGGAACACCAGUGGCGAAGGCGGCUCUCUGGUCUGUAACUGACGCUGA
Molecule: ribosomal RNA, 477 nt
Filed under: uncultured Bacilli bacterium
Lineage: Bacteria; Bacillati; Bacillota; Bacilli
Description: bacterial SSU rRNA
Rfam family: Bacterial small subunit ribosomal RNA
Source: RNAcentral